UAGGGAAUAUUGGUCAAUGGAGGCAACUCUGAACCAGCCAUGCCGCGUGUAGGAAGAAGGCGUUCUGCGUUGCAAACUACUUUUGAUUGGGAACAAAUGACUCUUGCGAGAGUAGCUGAGUGUACCAAUAGAAUAAGCCACGGCUAACUACGUGCCAGCAGCCGCGGUAAUACGUAGGUGGCAAGCGUUGUCCGGAUUUAUUGGGUUUAAAGGGUGCGUAGGCGGCUUGAUAAGUCAGUGGUGAAAGCCGAUCGCUUAACGAUCGAACUGCCAUUGAUACUGCCAGGCUUGAGUAUAGUUGAGGUAGGCGGAAUUGACAGUGUAGCGGUGAAAUGCAUAGAUAUUGUCAAGAACACCAAUUGCGAAGGCAGCUUACUAAAGUAUAACUGACGCUGAGGCACGAAAGUGCGGGGAUCAAACAGGAUUAGAUACCCUGGUAGUCCGCACCGUAAACGAUGAUCACUCGCUGUGUGCGAUAAACAGUACGCGGCCAAGCGAAAGGCGAUAAGUGAUCCACCUGGGGAGUACGCCCCGCAAGGGUGAAACUCAAAGGAAUUGAC
RNAcentral lists this ribosomal RNA (560 nucleotides) under uncultured bacterium. Its description in RNAcentral is "partial 16S ribosomal RNA". It matches the Rfam family "Bacterial small subunit ribosomal RNA", at positions 355 to 914 of the family's 1533-position model. The record is from RNAcentral.